RNAcentral lists this long non-coding RNA (279 nucleotides) under Solanum tuberosum (potato). Its description in RNAcentral is "long non-coding RNA (STUB_LNC005955)". Lineage: Eukaryota; Viridiplantae; Streptophyta; Magnoliopsida; Solanales; Solanaceae. The record is from RNAcentral.
GGAACACUUCCUGCACUUUUCAAGACAAGAACAUCAUGUGCGUCAAUUGAAUAGAAACUGAACAAGAAUCAAGAAUUGCAGUUGUUGACAUGCCAAUAUCAGGAAAAAAUAAUGAAAGUCUUAGUACUGAUAUUAGUACCAAAGCGAAGGUUCCUAGUUUGAUUGGCGAUUCAAGAAUUACUUGAGCUUUCCUGCAUGAAUUUCCAUUUCCAAGGAACUUAAUGCUAACAUGGUUAGAAAACUUUGAAGUUUACUUUAGGAUUAGUUCUCCGUCUCUUG